UAAAUCCAAAAUCUUGCAGUAGAUUUUGAGCAGCGUUUUCCUUUUCAAAAAUCUUACAAAGAAUAAAAGGAAUAUCUGCAACACGCAGCGUUCGGCGUCAAACAGGCCUCUCCACCCAUACCUUCCACCGACCAUCGCUGAUCUCUUCCCUACGCAGAUCCAAAUUCCUCCUCCUCCUCCUUCGAUCUCGAUCUCUUCUCCUCAGCCUCAGGUACGUUCUCGAUCGACCCUGAUCUCGUCUUCGUCUCUUUGAUCUGUCCACCCAACAGAGGAGGAAGCAAACAUGAGUUCAAAUUUCGGAAAACCCACCCUUAACAACUACGAGUUCGAUUUCGGAGGACUCUCCACGAACCGUCCCCGUUCCAUGAACGAUCAGAAGCACCAGCACCGACCCUCUUCUUACUCGCAAUCUUCUUCUUCGUCGUCGUUUUCAUCGACCCAGACCAGGCCUGCAACGACGCCGUCGUGGCAGCCCAACAAACCCUCGUGGACCCACCAGCCGGCGGCGGGUAACGCCGCCCGGCCCGGUCUGUCUGGCGCGCCGGCUUCAAUGGUGGGCGAUAUCCUCGGUAAGAGCUGGUCAUCAGGUGCCAGUACAGGCAUCGGAAUCGCGGAUAAAAACCCUAAUUUGUUUGGGGAUCUGCUCGGCUCGGCCUUAGGGCAGGGUAAGAGCAAUAAUAGUAAUGUUCCGUUGAAGAAUAUAUCAUCAAAGAGUUCGUAUUCAAUGGAGAAUUUGGCUGAUUCGUUGCCAAAAACGAGUAAUCCUGUGAAAAGUAAUAGUAAUUGGGGAUCGGGUGAGAGUUUUGGGAGUUAUACUGGUCCAUACAAUAAAAGUAACAUUAAUAAUAAUAACUUCAACAAAGGCCCAAAUCUUGGAGGUCCUUCCAUGCGGAAUUUAGGUGGAGUUGGAGCUGGGAUGAGUGCCAACAAGGACCCAUUUGGAUCUUUGGUUGAUUUUGGGUCGAAGCAAACGGGUAAUCUUAAUACUGCGAGGAAGAGUAAUGAGGUUAGCACAGGUAAUGAUGCAUUUGGGGAUUUUCAGAAUGCUUCAAAGUCGAGCACAUCAGCAUACCCAUCAAAUGCUCAUUCUACAAGCAAUAGCACUAAUAACAAUAAUUUUAUGGGAUCAAGCCCGGCAUCUGGUGCGACAAUUGAUGAUUUUGGGAUUCCUAGUAAGGAUUAUAGUUCUCAGAAUCAGCCUCCUGCUCAGCCAGCGGGGGUUGAUCCAAUCGACAUGUUGUUUACUUCAUCAUCUUCCUCGGCUGGAGCUGCCUCUGCUGCUGCCCAAGGACUUGGAAAUCAGCAAUUUUCUGAAGCUGAUGAUUGGGGAUUGGAUACAGAGUUCGGAGGUGGAGGAGGAAAUGAAACAGGCACAACUACUGAGCUUGAAGGACUUCCUCCCCCACCCGCUGGUGUGUCAGCUUCUUCUGCUAUGAACAAGGGGGUGGAUAACUACAAGCAGGGGCAGUAUGCUGAUGCGAUAAAAUGGCUUUCUUGGGCUGUAAUUUUACUUGAGAAAGCUGGAAAUAAUGCUUCCACCAUGGAGGUUUUGUCGUGCAGAGCUUCAUGUUAUAAAGAAGUUGGGGAAUAUAAGAAGGCUGUUGCAGACUGCACGAAGGUGCUAGAACAUGAUGACACAAAUGUAUCAGUCCUUGUACAGCGUGCACUCUUGUAUGAGAGUAUCGAAAAGUACAAACUCGGGGCAGAGGACUUAAGGUCUGUUAUGAAACUUGAUCCUGGUAAUCGUGUUGCAAGAAGUACGAUUCAUCGCUUGACUAAAAUGGCAGGGUAAAGAGGUUUUGAAAUUGUGUGCGCAGUAGCUUCUUCAUUUAGGCUGAAAAUGUUGUGGUUUGCUUUGGAAAAUAUCCACUCCAACUUGCCAAAACCACUUCAGUAGAAUGAAUUGAGUGAGCUAUUGGUGUAGAGGCCUUGAGAAGAAAAUAUAGUGAUGUGAUUUACACAAGAGUCGAGUACACGAUUUGUUCCAAAACAACAGUUCUAUGGCAGCGGAAGGAUUAAAGGGAACUCCAAAGAUGCUCCUAGAAGAAAUAGAGGAAGGGCUCUGCUUGAAAUAAGGGUUCUAUCCACCUCAACAAUGAUGUUUGCUCAGGUCCAUAGUGCACCCCAAAGCCUUCAACCGUAGCUUCAUAUUUCUUCUCUCACCUGCUUGGUUACCUUAGCAGCACCUCUAAACUGGAACAUAUUCUUCAGCUGCAACUCCCUGGAUGCUUGGCAACAUCCCAAAAUUUGGACAGAUGUAGUUGGAUGUUUUGGGGCAGGGAGAGAGUAACGGAUUGGAUUCUGGGGGAGUCUCUUCUAUAAGUAGGAAUUGUGGAUAGAGAAGGGGGAGGGAACUUCUCAAGUGUAGGGAGAAUAGAGAGAGUGAGAGAAUGAUGGAAUAAAAAGCCAUUAAAGUAGGGGCAGCGAAGCAGAUACAGGAGAAGAAGAGCUCUGAGAGUCUGCUCUGCGCAGAAUUUGCAAAGCAGAAGGGUCGCAGAGGAGCCUCGUGGAGAGUUUAGCUGAAAGACAAGUCAAGAGGUAACCACAGAAGAUUUUAGCAGAAUAUGAAUAUUCAUUUAAACCUACGAUUCAGUGUGGGCAGUGUAAUUGAGUGGAUUAAUGCUGCAACAUGGUGAGUAUUCCCUUAAAAUCAUGACUAGUAUUACUGUGUGUUGAGCUAUUAGAAUGAUCCUAGGACUGUAUUGUCCGUUGGGUGAUGAAUGCUAUGCUGCAAUGUGCCUACUUGAAAUUGCGACUGUCUUAUGGAUGAUUACUUCACAUGUUGAACAA
This is an RNA transcript of Malania oleifera, 2790 nucleotides long. RefSeq lists it as uncharacterized. The record is from RefSeq and is a predicted model, not a curated record. NCBI's taxonomy places the organism in Eukaryota, Viridiplantae, Streptophyta, Magnoliopsida, Santalales, Ximeniaceae. The transcript is spliced from 5 exons.